This is a non-coding RNA of Cajanus cajan (pigeon pea), 345 nucleotides long. NCBI's taxonomy places the organism in Eukaryota, Viridiplantae, Streptophyta, Magnoliopsida, Fabales, Fabaceae. The record is from RefSeq and is a predicted model, not a curated record.
UGUUUGGUUCUUUUCAUUGAAUGCUUUGGAAAGCAUGGCUUCCUUAUUAUUAACAGCGCAGGACUUUUGUUUUCUGAAUUUUCUCUGAUUCUCUCAGGUUAUUGCUGUUGCUAAAUCUUCAGACAUAGUACUGAUGGUUCUUGAUGCUUCCAAAUUGCAGGUGAAAACAAGAAGAAAAGAGUGCAUGGCAUGGGACAUAACUUGGAUCUUGGAACUAGUAGCUCUACCCAAGGUUCAUCUCCAGAGGUUGCAGGUUCCUCUACAAACCUUACGCCUAUGACAGAAGAACGGGUCACUACAGUUAUAAAUAAUGCAUUGACCUCUUUUUUGCAAACACAAUUACCA